RNAcentral lists this ribosomal RNA (301 nucleotides) under uncultured bacterium. RNAcentral's name for it is "partial 16S ribosomal RNA". It matches the Rfam family "Bacterial small subunit ribosomal RNA", at positions 509 to 809 of the family's 1533-position model. The record is from RNAcentral.
CAGUAGCCACGGUAACACGGAGGGUGCAAGCGUUAAUCGGAAUUACUGGGCGUAAAGCGCACGCAGGCGGUUUGUUAAGUCAGAUGUGAAAUCCCCGAGCUUAACUUGGGAACUGCAUUCGAAACUGGCAAGCUAGAGUCUUGUAGAGGGGGGUAGAAUUCCAGGUGUAGCGGUGAAAUGCGUAGAGAUCUGGAGGAAUACCGGUGGCGAAGGCGGCCCCCUGGACAAAGACUGACGCUCAGGUGCGAAAGCGUGGGGAGCGAACAGGAUUAGAUACCCCAGUAGUCCCUGUCUCUUAUAU